UGCAAGUCGUGCGCGAAAGUCUUCGGACAAGUAAAGCGGCGAAAGGGUGAGUAACACGUAACCAACGUACCCUGCAGAUUGGAAUAACCUCUGGAAACGGUGGGUAAUGCCAAAUGGUCCGUGGGAAGGCAUCUUCCUAACGGUAAACGGCGGCUUCGGCUGCUGCUGCGGGAGCGGGUUGCGGCCUAUCAGCUUGUUGGUGAGGUAACGACUUACCAAGGCUAUGACGGGUAGCGGGUCUGAGAGGAUGAUCCGUCACACUGGGACUGAGACACUGCCCAGACUCCUACGGGAGGCUGCAGUCGAGAAUCUUCCACAAUGGGCGAAAGCCUGAUGGAGCGACACCGCGUGCAGGAUGAAGGCCUUAGGGUUGUAAACUGCUGUCACGCUAUAGGAACCGGCGAUGGUGAAUAGUCAUCGUCCUGACUAAAGCGAGAGGAAGCACCGGCUAACUCCGUGCCAGCAGCCGCGGUAAUACGGAGGGUGCAAGCGUUGUUCGGAUUCACUGGGCAUAAAGAGCAUGUAGGCGGCUCGCUCAGUCAGGUGUGAAAGCCCACGGCCCAACCGUGGAACUGCACCUGAUACUGGCGAGCUCGAGGUCGGAAGGGGUGAGUGGAACUUCAGGUGGAACGGUGAAAUGUAUAGAUAUCUGAAGGAACACCGGUGGCGAAAGCGGCUCACUGGUCCGACUCUGACGCUGAGAUGCGAAAGCUAAGGUAGCGAACGGGAUUAGAUACCCCGGUAGUCUUAGCCGUAAACGAUGGGCACUAGGCAAUGGGCUUACCUAUGAGGUUCAUUGCCGUAGCUAAUGUGUUAAGUGCCCCGCCUGGGGAGUACGCUCGCAAGAGUAAAACUCAAAGGAAUUGACGGGGGAUCACACAAGCGGUGGAGCAUGUUGUUUAAUUCGAAGCAACGCGAA
Molecule: ribosomal RNA, 919 nt
Filed under: uncultured bacterium
Lineage: Bacteria
Description: bacterial SSU rRNA
Rfam family: Bacterial small subunit ribosomal RNA
Source: RNAcentral